RNAcentral lists this ribosomal RNA (253 nucleotides) under uncultured bacterium. RNAcentral describes it as "partial 16S ribosomal RNA". It matches the Rfam family "Bacterial small subunit ribosomal RNA", at positions 524 to 776 of the family's 1533-position model. The record is from RNAcentral.
GACGAACCGUGCGAACGUUGUUCGGAAUCACUGGGCUUAAAGGGCGCGUAGGCGGGCGCAUUAGUCUGGGGUGAAAUCCCGCGGCUCAACCGUGGAACUGCCUCAGAUACUGACGGUCUCGAGGGAGGUAGGGGCGAGCGGAACUGUGAGUGGAGCGGUGAAAUGCGUUGAUAUUCACAGGAACUCCGGUGGCGAAGGCGGCUCGCUGGACCUCUUCUGACGCUGAGGCGCGAAAGCCAGGGGAGCAAACGGG